GNGGGGUUGGCUCAGUGGUUAAGAGCACUUGUCUCUUUUUCAGAGGACCUGGGUUCGAUACCCAGCACCCACA
This 73-nucleotide transfer RNA is filed under the name Neotoma lepida (desert woodrat). It matches the Rfam family "tRNA". Rfam says of the family: Transfer RNA (tRNA) molecules are approximately 80 nucleotides in length. Their secondary structure includes four short double-helical elements and three loops (D, anti-codon, and T loops). The record is from Rfam by way of RNAcentral. Lineage: Eukaryota; Metazoa; Chordata; Mammalia; Rodentia; Cricetidae.